UACUAGAGUAGCACUCGCAUAUCAAUAAGCGGAGGAAAAGAAACUAACAAGGAUUCCCUAGUAACGGCGAGUGAAGCGGGAAGAGCUCAAAUUUGAAAUCUUAAAGGGUUUCCCUUUACGAAUUGUAGUUUAAAGAAGUGUUUUCUGUUGAGGUUUUGGUAAAAGUUCUUUGGAAUAGGACAUCAUAGAGGGUGAGAAUCCCGUAUUUGACCUUUACUUUCAACUUUGUGAUACACUUUCAAAGAGUCGGAUUGUUUGGGAAUGCAGUCCAAAAUGGGUGGUAAAUUUCAUCUAAAGCUAAAUAUUGGCGAGAGACCGAUAGCGAACAAGUACCGUGAGGGAAAGAUGAAAAGAACUUUGAAAAGAGAGUUAAACAGUACGUGAAAUUGUCAAGAGGGAAGCGUUUGACACCAGUGUUGUUUUUCUGAAAAUCAAUUAAAGAACUGUUUAUGCUAAGUUGUUUAGACUUUAUCAGCUAUCUGUUUAGUUUUGAGCUUUUCUUUAAUGCACUUUUCAGUUAACAAGUCAACAUCAAUUUCUUUUGCUGUAAAAAAGCUUGAGGAAGGUGGCUUGAGAUUCGUCUUAAGUGUUUAUAGCCUCUUGCCUAUGCAGUCGGAGAGAUUGAGGUCUGCAGCGUAGAAUCCUUCGGGGCUAAAUGCAUUUGUGCUAGGUUAUAGCAUUUUAUAGACAACUUGUUGACUAUGAUUUGUCUUGUAGCUUACUCGCUUAUGUUAUUUUACCUACGCUUAGGAUGUUGAGCGCAUGUCUCUCUCU
RNAcentral lists this ribosomal RNA (774 nucleotides) under uncultured Neocallimastigales. RNAcentral describes it as "partial large subunit ribosomal RNA". It matches the Rfam family "Eukaryotic large subunit ribosomal RNA", at positions 20 to 616 of the family's 3401-position model. Lineage: Eukaryota; Fungi; Neocallimastigomycota; Neocallimastigomycetes; Neocallimastigales. The record is from RNAcentral.